UUCCGGUUGAUCCUGCCGGACCCGACUGCUAUUUGGGUGAGGAUAAGCCAUGCGAGUUGAAUGGGAAACCUGAAGUUCCCAUGGCAAACUGCUCAGUAACACAUGAUCAACUUACCCUAUAGAGAAAAAUAACCUCGGGAAACUGAGGAUAAUGUUUCAUAGUUGAAUUGGCUUGGAAAAGUUUUUCGACGAAAGGGGUAAAGAAAAUGGUUUUUAUCUGCUAUAGGAUAGGAUCGUGUUCGAUUAUGGUUGUUGGUGAGGUAAUGGCUCACCAAGCCGAUAAUCGAUAGGGGCCGUGAGAGCGGGAGCCCCGAGAUGGGUACUGAGACAACGACCCAGGCCUUACGAGGCGCAGCAGGCGCGAAACCUCCGCAAUACACGAAAGUGUGACGGGGUUACCCAAAGUGCUCAAUUUUGAACUGUGGUAGGUGAGUAAUGUUCCCCACUAGAAAGGAGAGGGCAAGGCUGGUGCCAGCCGCCGCGGUAAAACCAGCUCUUCAAGUGGUCGGGAUAAUUAUUGGGCUUAAAGUGUCCGUAGCCGGUUUGGUAAGUUCCUGGUAAAAUCGGGUAGCUUAACUAUCUAUAUGCUAGGAAUACUACUAUACUAGAGGGCGGGAGAGGUCUGAGGUACUACAGGGGUAGGGGUGAAAUCUUAUAAUCCUUGUUGGACCACCAGUGGCGAAGGCGUCAGACUGGAACGCGCCUGACGGUGAGGGACGAAAGCCAGGGGAGCGAACCGGAUUAGAUACCCGGGUAGUCCUGGCCGUAAACGAUGCACACUAGGUGAUGGCACGGCCAUGAGCCGUGUCAGUGCCGUAGGGAAACCGUUAAGUGCGCCGCCUGGGAAGUACGGUCGCAAGGCUAAAACUUAAAGGAAUUGGCGGGGGAGCACCACACGGGUGAAGCCUGCGGUUCAAUUGGAAUCAACGCCGGU
Molecule: ribosomal RNA, 934 nt
Filed under: uncultured archaeon
Lineage: Archaea
Description: bacterial SSU rRNA
Rfam family: Archaeal small subunit ribosomal RNA
Source: RNAcentral